Molecule: ribosomal RNA, 475 nt
Filed under: uncultured bacterium
Lineage: Bacteria
Description: bacterial SSU rRNA
Rfam family: Bacterial small subunit ribosomal RNA
Source: RNAcentral
CAGGACGAACGCUGGCGGCGUGCUUAACACAUGCAAGUCGAACGGGAGUAUUGAAGAAGCUUGCUUUAGAGAUACUUUAGUGGCGGACGGGUGAGUAACGCGUGAGGAGCUGUCCUAUGCAGGGGGACAACAGCUGGAAACGGCUGCUAAUACCCCAUAAGCCGAGAGGUAAAAGGAUCAAUCCGGCAGAGGAGGUACUCGCGUCCUAUCAGCUAGUAGGUGAGGUAACGGCUCACCUAGGCGAAGACGGGUAGCCGGCCUGAGAGGGCGAACGGCCACACUGGAACUGAGAUACGGUCCAGACUCCUACGGGAGGCAGCAGUGGGGAAUAUUGGGCAAUGGGGGGAAAAACCCCCUGACCCAGCGACGCCGCGUGGGUGAAGAAAUCCUUCGGGAUGUAAAGCCCUGUUGUAUGGGAAGAGCGGAAGACGGUACCAUACGAGGAAGCCCCGGCAAACUACGUGCCAGCCGCGGC